UUGCCCAUUUUGCAGCACAUAUACGAAAAUUGGAACUAUACAAGAAGAUUAGCAUGGCCCCUGCAUAGGGAUGACACGCAAAACAUAUAUCAUAAAAUUAUUUGA
Molecule: small nuclear RNA, 105 nt
Organism: Suncus etruscus (white-toothed pygmy shrew)
Lineage: Eukaryota; Metazoa; Chordata; Mammalia; Eulipotyphla; Soricidae
Source: RefSeq, a predicted model, not a curated record